CCUACGGGUGGCAGCAGUAGGGAAUUUUCGGCAAUGGGGGGAACCCUGACCGAGCAACGCCGCGUGAAGGAAGAAGGAAUUCGUUCUGUAAACUUCUGUUAUAAAGGAAGAAAGACGGAUGGAGGAAAUGACAUCCGAGUGACGGUACUUUAUGAGAAAGCCACGGCUAACUACGUGCCAGCAGCCGCGGUAAUACGUAGGUGGCAAGCUUUAUCCGGAAUUAGUGGGCGAAAAGAGGGCUCAGGCGGCAGCAACGGUCUGUGGUGAAAGACUGAAGCUUAACUUAAGUAGGCCAUAGAGACCUGGCAGCUAGAGUGCAGGAGAGGAUCGUCGAAUUCCAGGUGUAGCGGUGAAAGGCGUAGAUAUAUGGAGGAACACCAGUGGCGAAGGCGACGAUCUGGCCUGCAACUGACGCUCAGUCCCGAAAGCGUGGGGAGCAAAUAGGAUUAGAUACCCCUGUAGUC
This 464-nucleotide ribosomal RNA is filed under the name uncultured bacterium. RNAcentral's name for it is "partial 16S ribosomal RNA". It matches the Rfam family "Bacterial small subunit ribosomal RNA", at positions 338 to 795 of the family's 1533-position model. The record is from RNAcentral.